UUUACCGUUUACGUGGAAUCUGAAGGAAGCUGUAAGCAAAUCUCUGGUCCGACGGACAGAAAUCACAUAUAAGGCUAGGCUACGAGAGAUAAGUUGGCAAGGAACAACGAAGUCUAAUAACUAUCACAUUUGUAGUAGCAGAGUAAAUGUGGCGGAUAUAUGGAGAGAAAGAGCGUGCACC
RNAcentral lists this non-coding RNA (181 nucleotides) under Pseudobutyrivibrio sp. 49. Lineage: Bacteria; Bacillati; Bacillota; Clostridia; Lachnospirales; Lachnospiraceae. The record is from RNAcentral.